UGUCGGAGUAGAGCAGCCCGGUGGCUCGCCAGCUCAGAAAGCUGGACGUCGCAGGUUCGAAUUUUGCCGCCGCAACCG
RNAcentral lists this transfer RNA (78 nucleotides) under Ensifer sp. Root142. Its description in RNAcentral is "tRNA-Ser". RNAcentral also lists the same sequence under 1 other name. Lineage: Bacteria; Pseudomonadati; Pseudomonadota; Alphaproteobacteria; Hyphomicrobiales; Rhizobiaceae. The record is from RNAcentral.